GGUGGCUCAGUGGUAGAGCGCAUGCCUUGCAUGCAUGAGGUCCUGGGUUCGAUUCCUCAGCACCA
This 65-nucleotide transfer RNA is filed under the name Dipodomys ordii (Ord's kangaroo rat). It matches the Rfam family "tRNA". Rfam says of the family: Transfer RNA (tRNA) molecules are approximately 80 nucleotides in length. Lineage: Eukaryota; Metazoa; Chordata; Mammalia; Rodentia; Heteromyidae. The record is from Rfam by way of RNAcentral.